GAUGAACGCUGGCGGCGUGCUUAACACAUGCGAGUCGAGCGAGAAGUUUUGAAAAGAUUCUUCGGAUGAAAUUUAAAAUGGAAAGCGGCGGACGGGUGAGUAACGCGUAGGCAACCUGCCCCAUACAAAGGGAUAGCAUUUGGAAACGAAUAUUAAUACCUUAUGAAACUUAACUAGUGCAUGCUAGGUAGGUCAAAGAUUUAUCGGUAUGGGAUGGGCCUGCGUCUGAUUAGCUAGUUGGUGAGGUAACGGCUCACCAAGGCGACGAUCAGUAGCCGACCUGAGAGGGUGAACGGCCACAUUGGAACUGAGACACGGUCCAAACUCCUACGGGAGGCAGCAGUGGGGAAUAUUGCACAAUGGGGGAAACCCUGAUGCAGCAACGCCGCGUGAACGAGGAAGGCCUUUGGGUCGUAAAGUUCUGUUCUAGGUGAUGAAAACUGACAGUAACCUAGGAGAAAGCCCCGGCUAACUCCGUG
This 479-nucleotide ribosomal RNA is filed under the name uncultured bacterium. RNAcentral's name for it is "partial 16S ribosomal RNA". It matches the Rfam family "Bacterial small subunit ribosomal RNA", at positions 28 to 507 of the family's 1533-position model. The record is from RNAcentral.